AGUGAACGCUGGCGGUAGGCCUAACACAUGCAAGUCGAACGGCAGCACAGUAAGAGCUUGCUCUUACGGGUGGCGAGUGGCGGACGGGUGAGGAAUACAUCGGAAUCUACUUUUUCGUGGGGGAGAACGUAGGGAAACUUACGCUAAUACCGCAUACGACCUACGGGUGAAAGCAGGGGAUCUUCGGACCUUGCGCGAUUGAAUGAGCCGAUGUCGGAUUAGCUAGUUGGCGGGGUAAAGGCCCACCAAGGCGACGAUCCGUAGCUGGUCUGAGAGGAUGAUCAGCCACACUGGAACUGAGACACGGUCCAGACUCCUACGGGAGGCAGCAGUGGGGAAUAUUGGACAAUGGGCGCAAGCCUGCUCCAGCCAUACCGCGUGGGUGAAGAAGGCCUUCGGGUUGUAAAGCCCUUUUGUUGGGAAAGAAAAGCAGCAGGUUAAUACCCCGAUGUUCUGACGGUACCCAAAGAAUAAGCACCGGCUAACUUCGUG
Molecule: ribosomal RNA, 492 nt
Filed under: uncultured bacterium
Lineage: Bacteria
Description: partial 16S ribosomal RNA
Rfam family: Bacterial small subunit ribosomal RNA
Source: RNAcentral